RNAcentral lists this long non-coding RNA (577 nucleotides) under Heterocephalus glaber (naked mole-rat). RNAcentral's name for it is "lncRNA (ENSHGLG00000033200.1)". The record is from RNAcentral. Lineage: Eukaryota; Metazoa; Chordata; Mammalia; Rodentia; Bathyergidae.
CCGGGCACAGGAAGCGCUGGGAGGCCUGAGCCGUCCCAGGGUGCCCCGCGCGGCGUGGACUGGGGCUGCUGCCGCCAUCCCGCUGGCGAGAGCGAGAGAGAGGCCCGCCUGCUCGCCGGCCAGGCCAGUGUGGGCGAGUGCGUGAAGGCGCGGGGGACCGUGUCAGCGAGACGCAGAGCGCAGCCACCACCCCCAAACGGACAUGUUGGAGCCCAGCGCCGCCGCCGCCUCCUUUUCCUCGCCCAGCGAACGGGACUGAGAAGGAGCCCGCCACCCCUCCGCCUCUGCCUCUGCUCGGCCGCCCGCCUCGCCGUCUCGGCCUCAGCCGCUUCCUGCCCGGCCUCGGGCUCCGCCACUCGUCGUCUUCCCCGUCGGUUCCCGGCCCCGCUCCGCCGCGGCGCGAGGUCUAUGUGACCGGCGGGCCGGGAGCAGCCACCGCCGCAACGCGAACAUGGACGCCGUCAACGCCUUCAACCAGGAGUUUGCUUGUUUUGCUGCAGAAGGGAGUGAUUUGGAGGACAGUCUUAUGACCUGUUGAACACAUGAGAUACAGACAGAACAGCUGUGCCAAACGAAG